UUUUGAAAGGGAAGGAGAGUUGCUAGGAGACGCGUAGUAGCCGGGGCUAGAUUUGAGCCGAGCGAGGCCGCCGGCGGGGAAGGAAAGCCUGAGCACAUGGAGCCGUGGUGGAGCGCGGGGAGGAAGGGCCGUCCUCCAGCGGCGCCCAGGCGGCUCUCCCUCUAGUAGCAGCCCGGCUUCCUCCUCCUCCCCGCCUCCGUCCUCUCCCACUGCAGCAGCAGCAUGCGUGCCCCAUAGGGCCUGUGGCCUCCCUCAGCGCGCCAUGUGAGAGUAUUAGUGCCAGACCGUGAUGCAUCUGCAAGCUGUGUUUUACUCAUCUCCGUGCAGUAGAGGUUUCGUAUGUCAAAGAGUUUAAAGUAUGGCACCGAAGACGGACUUUGGCUGGAGCAUGGCCCUUCUAGCAGCACCGGGCUUGGUGCUGGAGAAGACUUUUGAGGGUGCCAUGGACAGGCCGGAAAACAGGUGGAUCAUAGAAGAAAUCCGUCCAGAAUUUUCACUCGAGACACAAAUGACCAGGCUCAAACUAUCAUAUUUUAGACACAUUAUGUGAAGACUUGAGAAGUCUAUAAUGGUGGGGAAAGUGGAAGGAAAGAGAAGAGGACGGCCAGCAGCAAGGUGGAUGGACUCGAUUAUGACAGCCAUGAAUGCACCACUGAGAGACCUGAAAGGCCAAGCUGAAGACAGAUCAUCCUGGAGAGAAUCUCUGUGGUCACUAAGAGAUCUGGAACAUUUACAUCCGGGAAAGCAAACAUGCCCAAGUUCCACUGAACAAGCAGCUGGCAUUCUAUAUAAUGCUCUAGGAUUUGUUCAACAUACAAAAGGCAUAAUACUUCACAAGCCUUUACAUGAGCAGUGGCAAGGCAGGGCCAAAGCCUACAGAUGUUAAGAUCAUAGGCAUCACUGCCAUCUUUUGUUGAAAGUGCAGAACUGCAUCUGAAGCCCGACUGGUGAUUCUGUUGUUGAACUGAAAUGGCAAACUCACCAGGUCAGUAGAUAUGAUCGCUCCUAAGCGCCAUCUCCAAUCCACUUAAGAAUUGGCCCCUUGGUACAGGGGUACCAAUUAAGAACUACAGGAGCUGAAGCAGCAAGGUAAGUGACUGGAGCACAAGUGGAGAAAGACUAGACUCAAAUCUAACAUUGCAACACAGAACACAUUUUAUGACAUAUACACAAGCAAUACAUGUAGCAAAGAAGUGAUUAUUUUCUGCCCAUAUUGCAUCCUCAAGCUCACAUCCAGCUGAGUUGUUUAGGGAUGUGCGAAGGCUAGUCAUUCGGCUCUAUCCUUGAGUCACACUUUGGAACCAUCAAUUACCUGCUGUGACAUUUUAAAAUGAGUUUUUUUGUGGAUUAAGUACUCUCUUAUUUGGGCCGACAGAUUCAAACCACACAAUCAAAUUUAGAGGUGUCCAGCAACUCUUAUGUGGUUAAGCUGGAUCAGUUUUAGUUUGUGGCUCUUGAUGAUGUGGGCAAGUUGCUUGGAAUGGGAUGGCCCAUCACCUGUUCUCUUGAUCCUUGGUGGCAUGGCUUAUACUGUCUGGCAGGGGAGGGCCUGGUAGAGAUUAUUAAUGCUUCUCUGAGGGAGGGCAGCAUGCCUUCCUGUCUUAAGGAGGCAAUUAUUAGACCGCUUCUGAAGAAGCCUGCAUUUGAUCCCUCAGAGUUAAGCAACGAUAGGCAUGUCUCAAACCUUCCAGAGUUGGGCAAGGUAAUUGAGAGAGUGGUGGCCUCCCAGCUCCAGACAGUCUUGGGGGAAAUUGAUUAUCUAGACUCAUUUCAAACUGGUUUUCAGGUGGGCUAUGGAGUGGAGACUGGUCAGCCUGAUGAUCUCCAACGAGGAAUUGACGGAGGGUGUGUGACUCUGUUGGUCCUUUUGGAUCUCCCAAAGGUUUGCAGUACUAUCGGCCAUAGUAUCCUUCUGGACCAUCUAAGAGGGUUGGAGGAAGUAGCAGCCGGAGGCACUGCUUUGCAGUGAUUCUGUUCCUACCUCUCAGACCAAUUCCAAAACUAGCAGGUAAACACCUUACAGCUCUUAUGAGUACAGACAAUGUAGGAAUUAUCUCACAAACUCAGGUAUGCCUAAGCCGAGUGCUGCGCUUGCAAGAUGAUUUCUGUAAAUCGAAUUCUCUUGAAAUCAAUUGUGACGAGACCAAAAUCAUGGUAUUUGUGAAGCAUCCAAAAAUUUGUAUGUGGUCAUUAAAUGGCUGUAGGCUGGAGCAGGUUAAUCACUUUAAGUAUCUUAUCUUCCAGGCUUCAGGCACCCAUACAGCCCAUUGAGACUAUACUAUACAGACUGCCCCAAAGAGCGCUUUUUCAAUUCAAUCUUAUUAUCGAUCAAGAGGUGCCCAAUUCAUCCCAGCAGCUAUCAAACUGUUUCAAGCUAAAGUACGUUCGCAGCUUCUAUAUGGUAUACAGCUGGGCAUUUAUCCUUGUUUUAAUACAUUGGAAGCUGUACAAUCAAAUUUUUCGAAACCUAUAUUCCAAGUUCCUGGCUGUGUGCCUAGAGCGGUUUUGCGACUUGAAGCUGGGAUGGUUAAAUUGGAGGCCAGGGCUUCGAUUGCUUUCUUUGAUUAAUGGUUAAAACUUACAUUUUGCUCCACAGGUCUAGUAUCUUUAGUACUAAAAGACAUAUACCAUUCUGGUUGGAUUAAGAAUGUGGAGGAUAGAUUAACAUACUAUGGUUUCUCUCCAGCUGCUAUACUAUCCCUAAAGUAUGAUACUGCAAGGACCAGGUAGCAAGAGAGAAUUUUUGACAUGGAACGCCAGAUUGAUCGAGGAGCCAUUCCAGCAAAUGUGUUUCUGGGUAGCCAGAUUUCGCAUUAUUCCCCGGCAGCAUAACUAUUUCACUUAUCUGUUUCUAAAUUUCAUUGGGCCCUGACUUUGGCCCGCUGUAAUGCUUUGCACACAGCAGUGCUGGAAGGAGGUUUCAUGGUAUCCCCCAGGAAGAUCAGGUGUGUCCAUGUGGUUUGGGAGAGAUUGAAAGUACAGCCCAUGUUUUUUUACACUGCUAGUUUUAUAGUGAUGCUAGAUUUGAGCUUAUUUGCCCUGAACUUGCCUUAUACCCAGAUUCGGAUGAUAACUUAUGUUUAUCUCGUCUUUUAGCUGAACAGAACGAAGCCAGACCGUGGAAGGUUGCCAAAUUUUGUUACAUUGUGGGUAGGAUAUAUCUGGAGGUUAUGAAUACUUCUUAGUUGGUUAUUUUUCCAAUGUUAAUUAUAAUCUUGUUCCUUUAUUUUCUUUUGUAUUUGUUAUAUCGAUAUUGAUAUUUGCAUUUUGUGUGUAUGUGUUUUCUGGUCAAUGACUAUAAUAAAAUUGAACUGAACUGAA
Molecule: long non-coding RNA, 3321 nt
Organism: Hemicordylus capensis (graceful crag lizard)
Lineage: Eukaryota; Metazoa; Chordata; Lepidosauria; Squamata; Cordylidae
Exons: 2
Source: RefSeq, a predicted model, not a curated record